GGGCAGGUCUGGCGCGGCGAAACCUUGUGAACCCCGCCAGGACCGAAAGGUAGCAACGGUAAGUAAGCGUCUUCGGGUGCCGCCAGUAACCUGCUCAGA
This 99-nucleotide signal recognition particle RNA is filed under the name Pseudomonadota bacterium. RNAcentral describes it as "signal recognition particle sRNA small type". It matches the Rfam family "Bacterial small signal recognition particle RNA". Rfam says of the family: The signal recognition particle (SRP) is a universally conserved ribonucleoprotein involved in the co-translational targeting of proteins to membranes. Archaeal SRP consists of a 7S RNA and homologues of the eukaryotic SRP19 and SRP54 proteins. RNAcentral also lists the same sequence under 1 other name. Lineage: Bacteria; Pseudomonadati; Pseudomonadota. The record is from RNAcentral.